AGCUUUAUGCAGUGGCAGUAUUGUAGCCAAUGAGGUUUAUCUGAGGCGCAAUUAUUGCUAAUUGAAAAAAAAGGCCAUAUAAUCUGAACAGACAUUUCUUAAAAGAA
RNAcentral lists this small nuclear RNA (107 nucleotides) under Colobus angolensis palliatus. RNAcentral's name for it is "U4 spliceosomal RNA (ENSCANG00000012299.1)". It matches the Rfam family "U4 spliceosomal RNA". From Rfam's summary of the family: U4 small nuclear RNA (U4 snRNA) is a component of the major U2-dependent spliceosome. The structure of U4 snRNA from yeast and human has been reported. The record is from Rfam by way of RNAcentral. Lineage: Eukaryota; Metazoa; Chordata; Mammalia; Primates; Cercopithecidae.